AUGGCUGACAUCUGGAACUCACUUGCAAGCUUUUCUCAUUCGAAUAUUGGUAGCCACAGCUCUCUACUCUCCUUCUCUCCAAGACGUAGCCACGCUUUCUCUAUCCACACCUCAUGGAACAGAGGAAGGAGAUGUUGGAAUGCGGAACGAUGGCAGGGCAGCUGCAGUGGCCUCCACACAGCCAGAGCAAUACUAAUGCAGUCGGUUUUGUCAUCUCUCCAAGGGACCAUAUGGCUUUCUUCAUGUGCCACUGCACCUUUAUCUCAGCAGAAUCCUAAAGCCCACAAAUGCCCCAUCACUGUGCACUUUGCAGCAGGGACACCCCACAGGCUCCUAGGCACUGCUGCCUGGAGUACUGGAUGGAGCCUCAUCAGACCAUCCAGCUCCAAGAAACCACGCCACGUCAGAUAUUGCCAAGCCAAACACACCAGGUUGAUCAAAAGAUGGCUCUGGACAGAGAGGAUGAAGAUAGCUGGAGGUGUGUAA
This 486-nucleotide long non-coding RNA is filed under the name Anas platyrhynchos platyrhynchos (common mallard). RNAcentral's name for it is "lncRNA (ENSAPLG00000027260.1)". The record is from RNAcentral. Lineage: Eukaryota; Metazoa; Chordata; Aves; Anseriformes; Anatidae.